RNA transcript from Cotesia glomerata, 1964 nucleotides. It is a transcript of the gene named androgen-induced gene 1 protein-like, with no coding region annotated. NCBI's taxonomy places the organism in Eukaryota, Metazoa, Arthropoda, Insecta, Hymenoptera, Braconidae. The transcript has 5 exons. The record is from RefSeq and is a predicted model, not a curated record.
AAUUCUAUGAAUCAUUAUUUGAAUUAAAAUUUUAACUAAUCGUAAAACUAAAACAACAAAGUAUAAGAAUUUAUUUGUGGAGCAAUUUUCACUAUGAAAAGUCAUUAAUGAGAACUCUCAAUGUCAGAAAUAAUUAUAUAAGAAAAAAGAGGCCGUUGUCAAAGAACGCUUAUUACCAUAAUUCUACCGUAUCGUGAAUAUAUCAUUAUUUAUUAGAUUGUAAAACAAUUGUCAACUAAAAAUCUCUUAUUGCGAUAGCAAAAUGAAUUGUGUUAAUCGCUAUCUAUAGCUUGCAGGCCUUCUCCACUUAUGAAUAAGUUAUAAAAAUUCACAUCUCUUGAAAAAAUCAUCAUACAUGAUCAUGCAAGAUCAUCUGUUGAUCUCAUGUAUGACCAUGCCUGAAUAUUCGCCAGGCCUAAAAAAGCAUGAGCAAGCACUCUCAUGUCUGACUAAGCACGAUCAUGCCUUUUUAGAUCUAGCGAAUAUUCAGGCAUGACCAUGCAUGGGGAAGCAUCAUCGUGCAUGACCAGGUAUGAUCAUGCAUUAAGAACAAAAUAACGAUAAAAAAAAAAUUUUAUGAAAUAAAUUUUUUUUGGUCCAUCACGGUUUUUGUCUUUCACUAGUUAGAUGUUAUCAAUUGUUUUUUUCACUGAAAAAUACCAUUUAAAAUUUGGUCUUUGACCAGGCUCGAACUCGGAAUCGUUGAUACAUGAAGCACGAACGAUAACCACUACGCUGGUCCGCCUUAUUACUUCAAAAGAUUUUUACUCCAUACUGUAUUUUUUGUUCGUCGUUACAGUGAUUGUGUCUUGAGUGCAAUGUUAUUAAUGAUUUAGUUUUUAAUAAAUUCAAUUUAAUGUACAUGUUUAACAAAAAAAUAUGUUUUUUGCGAAAAAAAGUAGGGUCGACAGUAUUUAUAAACGAGUGUUAUGCAUUUUUGUUUGUAUCAAUUUUUUUAUAUAAUCCCUCUAACUGACCUUCAAGAUAAGAUGUUGAAUACUGUGAUAAUUCAAGCUGUUUUUUUCUUUUUAUGUAUUCUUAAUGAUAUUUACGGAACUAAUAAAGUUGCACCGAAGCAGACCCCAUUGCUGCGGCGAAUCAAAGACUACUUUCAUGCGACGUUUAGUUUUCCACUUGCCAUGUUUGUAGGUAUAACAUUUUGGUCAUUGAUGUUUUUUGACCGUGAAUUGGUGCUUCCUAAAGCUCUCGAUCCAUAUUUUCCAUGGUGGUUAAACCAUUUAAUGCAUACAAUGAUUAUGAUAACAACGGUACUUGAAAUGAUAAGUGCGCCGAGACAGUAUCCAAAAAAAAAGUCCGGGUACAUUGGACUCUAUGCGCUUAUGAUUUCAUACCUUAUAUGGAUACAUAUAAUUUAUUAUAAAAGUGGAGUUUGGGUAUAUCCAGUUAUGGAAGUAUUAUCGUGGCCGUUACGAAUCUUAUUUUUCAUAUCAUUAUUUGGGUUCACUGGAUUACUUUACUACGCAGGUGAAAUUAUUGACAAUUUAAUUUGGGGUAGUAAGAAAUCGAAGAAUCAUCAAAAGAGUAUGACCAAAUCAAAAUAACGUUACUUAAUAUCACCAAAAUGUGAUAUUGGAAGAUAUUAUGUUCUAAUUCAGAAAAGAUAUCUUAAAUAGAAAGUCAUAUUAUACUAAUAUUAUAAUGAAGAAAAUAUAAAAUUGCUAUUUCAGUGAACUGAUUUAUGCAAGUAUAUGGGUAGUAAAAAAAGUAGAGAUUUCUUCAUCCUUCAAAUACUUCAAGGUGAUAAAUGUUGAAAAAUAAAUUACUAAUAGGUUAUUGCGUUAUAAAUACUCUAUGGAGAUCAAUAAAUAAUAAUUCUUAACAAUGUUAAGUGGGGAACUGAUAUGCUAGAAAAGUCAUUAGUAUUCUAACACGAUGAACGACUUAAAUGAAUUUCACAAAAGAAAAAAAAAAAAAAAAAACUGUUUGGAGCCAAGUGCAUAAGG